UAGUGAUCCGGUGGUUCUGAAUGGAAGGGCCAUCGCUCAACGGAUAAAAGGUACUCCGGGGAUAACAGGCUGAUACCGCCCAAGAGUUCAUAUCGACGGCGGUGUUUGGCACCUCGAUGUCGGCUCAUCACAUCCUGGGGCUGAAGUAGGUCCCAAGGGUAUGGCUGUUCGCCAUUUAAAGUGGUACGCGAGCUGGGUUUAGAACGUCGUGAGACAGUUCGGUCCCUAUCUGCCGUGGGCGCUGGAGAAUUGAGGGGGGCUGCUCCUAGUACGAGAGGACCGGAGUGGACGCAUCACUGGUGUUCGGGUUGUCAUGCCAAUGGCACUGCCCGGUAGCUAAAUGCGGAAGAGAUAAGUGCUGAAAGCAUCUAAGCACGAAACUUGCCCCGAGAUGAGUUCUCCCUGAGACUU
This 411-nucleotide ribosomal RNA is filed under the name Klebsiella pneumoniae. RNAcentral's name for it is "partial 23S ribosomal RNA". It matches the Rfam family "Bacterial large subunit ribosomal RNA", at positions 2413 to 2823 of the family's 2925-position model. Lineage: Bacteria; Pseudomonadati; Pseudomonadota; Gammaproteobacteria; Enterobacterales; Enterobacteriaceae. The record is from RNAcentral.